Long non-coding RNA from Parus major (Great Tit), 3762 nucleotides. RefSeq lists it as uncharacterized. NCBI's taxonomy places the organism in Eukaryota, Metazoa, Chordata, Aves, Passeriformes, Paridae. The transcript is spliced from 3 exons. The record is from RefSeq and is a predicted model, not a curated record.
CCCUUGAUCCCGACCUUAGGGCAUCGCCCUCAGUUUCUUUAUUUAGUGUUCUGAUGCUCCACAGAUCGAGUUUUUUGGCCGAGGCGGUGUUCUUUGGUAGCUGAUUUGCAUAAGCCCCGAUCGCCAUCUUGGGAAGUCCUUACCCCCGGCCGUCGCUUCGGGAAGUCUCUGGUCGCCAUAUUGUCGUGCCGGGAGGCCUCCGACUGCAAUCGCCGUGCCGGGAGGUCUCGAAUCCCGGCCGCCGUGCCGGGCCGCCACGCUGGGACGCCGUGCCGGGCCGCCGCGCCGGGCCGCCGCUCUGGGCCGCCGCAUCGGUCUGCAGUAUUGGGCGGUUUCUAACAGGAGCAACAAGGAACUGUUUGGCACGGAACUCGGAACAGGAACGUUUUGGAGCCUGGAACAGAGGCUGCAAAAGAACACUUGCAAAACCUUGGCCAGCCCUGGUCACCGGGGUGUCCCCGACCCAGGGCACGGCUGGACAGGAGCAACAUGGAAUAGUUCAGCAUGAGCCCAGAACUGGAACACUGCAGAGUAUACUGCCGCGGCGACGGAAAGGCCGGAGCGCCGCGACUUCUCUAGAGAAGCAGUCUUGAAAAGGGCUGGGCCGAAGCGCGUGUGAGCGGCUUCGGGCAGGCCAGUGAUCUCAGCUCAGCGGCGGCGGGCAGGUGACACGGGAAGCAGGGACGAGAAAGCUGGUCCAGCGUUCCGCUAAGCACAAACCUUUAUUCAGGCAGAGCUUUGACGAAGGGAGCCAGCAACAGCUAGUCUCCCGAACAGGGGAAAACCCGGGAUAUUUAUGGGGAAGGAGAGGGGCGGGGGGGGUCGGAGCCCGAGAUACCUGUAUCGGGUUGGGACAGCAGGGGGGAACACCAAUGGGGCACAACAGUUUAACAUAACUAACUCAAAGAUCCCUGGGAGCGAUACAUUGUCUCUCUCUGCGUGAAGGUGUCAUGCCUCCAGGGGAGACCCAGGAUCGCGGAGCCAGCGGGUUCCCAGGCACCCACAGUAUACAAGAAAAUGCCAGAAGUUCACUGAUGCAGAGUGGAGUAUCUUCCCUGUCACCACUAAUGAAUGAUCAUUUUCAGCCCUAAAAGUCUUGGCUUGUAAAGUGAUUUAUCCUGAUGACGGGGAAAAUUCAGCAGCACGGGUCUACCCUCAUUAUCUGGCAGCAGAACAAGCAGUGGCUACAUAACUCUCAUCUGAUGAAGAUGGAUUCAAAUCUCCAAGCUAUUUUUCAAUUCCUUUGGUUGCUUUUUUGAUGGAAUGUGAAAGAGAAGUACAGCAGAAAAAUGGUGGAGCCAGCAGGUAUCAUGUACCUUAAUGCAAAAUUAAUGCGUAUUAAUUUUUGAGAUAUAAAUCUAGAGGUGUAUCUUUUGUACUGGGCAUUUUGCCACCAUUUGGUUUUAAGUGAGUAGAUAACACUUCGAUUGUUUUGAAUUAAUUUCUAAAUGCCCCCUAGGUUAUAUUUAUGGUAUUUAUUUGCUUAGUGAACAGAGGCCAGUUCUAUCAUAAAGGUGAAUUUCUGCUGAUCAGCAACAAAUAGUAUAACAGACACUCCUUCUUUAGUAAAUGUGUAAAAUGACAUAUAGUAAAUAUUAGGGUUGUAUGCAGUUCCUAAUCUCUCCAUUUCAAGCUCUGGAAUGUGAUGAUCCUGGUUUUAGAUAGCAAUAGAAAUACCAAAUAAUAUGAAUAAGAAAGUCAAUUUAAAAUUCCUAGACAUGUGUUUGUCUUCUGAAGCUGAGGAAGUGAAGUUCUCCCACUGACUGACACUUCUUGCUGAUGUUGAGGCAGAUCAGAGCCAGAGGGUUGUUAGAGGAUGUAAAAUCAGGCACUUUAUAGCUGCUAUAUCUCUCCUCCUUUACUCAACACCUCUGAAAGUCCUUGUGCUCUUUUUCAUGUGAGGGAGAAAAUGAGAGGUGCAAGCCCUAGAGAUGUACAAAACAAUUAUACCUUAUCUGUAGGUCUUGGAGAGGUGUCCAAGACCCCAAGGCUAAGUACCUUUGUCUGUUUAUAAAUGAGCAGAUCCAGAGUCAGUGAGAUAUCUGUGGACAUCCACAGCACAAGCAGGCUGUGAGUUUCCAGGAGACCUCCAGAUUUCUGAUCAGCAGAGAGAGGGAGAAAGAUGAUUAAGCCAUAUCCCUAAUUGGGAGAGAUGUUUCCAUUCCCUUUUGUACACUUCCCCACCAACACAUGCAGGAUCCACCUUUCAGAUCCAUCAGUAGCUUUCCCCUGUCACUCUCCUGUCCACACCAACUUCAGCCACACCUCUCCUCUUCUCCCCUCUCUUCCUGGUUAGCUGCAGUCCUCAUAGUCCCCAGGUCUUCUUUUUUCUUGAACCCUAUGCCAAUAAAAGUACACCGGUACCAAUUUUAUUAUUUAAAAUCUACUUCAAGUUUUGCAUAAUUGAAGGUGUCUGGACCUGACAGCAUUUACAACCCUUUCAGACAAUUCUGACAGAGGCAGCCUGUAGCUUACUUUAUCUGGUUUCCACCUAUCACUUCAGUUUAUUCAAAUGCAAUUUAGAUUUGAUAACACAAUGUAGCCCUUUGGACUAUUCAAAUCAUAUGAAAAACAGCCUUACUGAAACCACCUUAAAAUGUCUUAAAAUUUCUUCCUGCGCAUAGUCAGUGUGGGCAUUUUGCACAGAAUGCGUCCAGACAGCUUCAGUCUUUUUUAGUGUCACUGAACUGGUACCCUGUUGGUGCCCUGAAUGUGUAGGGUUAACUUACGCAACAAAUGAGAAAAUUGUGAAUGUCUUAGAUCUGGGCAUCAUUGCUAAAACUCUAGAGAAUGAGAGACAUUGACAAAUGCUUUGUUUCAACCCAGAAAAACUCUAAUUUAGUGACACUAUUUUAUGGCUUUACUCUAUAAGCCAUUAUUAUCCUAGCAAACUUCAAGAGAAUGAAAGAUUAAAACACUUAGAAUCUAUAUCUAAAUUGUAAUUUUGUCAUACACUGAUAGUGUAAAUUAUGGUGCCCUGUAGUACAGGAUCAGAGGCAGGGUGAUUUUGUGCUUGAAAAGAGCAAGAAGCUUCUAGGACCUGUGUCUCAUACAGAAUCUAAGUCCUGUAUUAUCUUCUGGAGGAUUCGGCAGCUGCUAGCUAGCAGAUCAAUCACUUGAUUUGUAUUAGAUUUGACAUCUAUGAAUGCUUUUAGAAGAAGAGUCUGAUGGGCUUAGAUUGGUAUCCUUGAAAGUGAAACAUCACACAUCAGUGUAAGCUUAGGAUAAUUGCACGAGUCAGAAUUUACAGGGAACUAAGAGAACAAUGUUUCAUAUUGGGUAAGUGGGUUUAUUUGUAAAAGAAGAAAAAAAAACAAAGUUAAAUAUUGAAGAGUAGAAAUACCAAUAUCUGAGUUACUAGUUCUUUCAUAUUACAGCAAAAGCCAUCACAGUGUGAUCAGACUCAGCAAUCCAGAUUCCUUGCUCUGGAGAGAUGUUUUGCUAUUAAUUUUUGUUUGUCUGUUUCUGGGGUCUACGUUUGUUUUCUUGCUUCUCUGAAAUGCAAUAAAAGCUUUUUGAAAAGCUGACUGGUGAACUGCACUAGGCAGAUUUCCAAAGCAGAGGCAUCUUCCAAAGCCUAUUGAAAUGAAAAAAAAGGUCCUCAUGUUCAUUUGAUCCAAUGGAAAUACAGAUCUGUUCCUCCUCAAUUUGGAGACCAUCCCCUAAAAUUCACUGACUCAGGCUGACCAGUCCUUUAAGUGCUCAAUCCAAAUAAUCUUAAUUCUCUUCCCACAUAAUCUGAAUAGUGGUCUCCCUUCAUCC